AACGAACGCUGGCGGCAUGCCUAACACAUGCAAGUCUAACGAGACCUUCGGGUCUAGUGGCGCACGGGUGCGUAACGCGUGGGAACCUUCCCUUAGGUUCGGAAUAACUCCCCGAAAGGGGUGCUAAUACCGGAUAAUGUCUUCGGACCAAAGAUUUAUCGCCUUUGGUUGGGCCCGCGUUGGAUUAGCUAGUUGGUAUGGUAAAAGCCUACCAAGGCGACGAUCCAUAUCUGGUCUGAGAGGAUGAUCAGCCACACUGGGACUGAGACACGGCCCAGACUCCUACGGGAGGAAGCAGUGGGGAAUAUUGGACAAUGGGCGAAAGCCUGAUCCAGCAAUGCCGCGUGAGUGAUGAAGGCCUUAGGGUUGUAAAGCUCUUUUACCCGGGAUGAUAAUGACAGUACCGGGAGAAUAAGCUCCGGCUAACUCCGUG
This 433-nucleotide ribosomal RNA is filed under the name uncultured bacterium. Its description in RNAcentral is "partial 16S ribosomal RNA". It matches the Rfam family "Bacterial small subunit ribosomal RNA", at positions 29 to 507 of the family's 1533-position model. The record is from RNAcentral.